UCAAACUUGGUCAUUUAGAGGAAGUAAAAGUCGUAACAAGGUCUCCGUUGGUGAACCAGCGGAGGGAUCAUUAGCGAGUUUAACUCUCUAUAACCAUUGUGAACGAACAGUUUUGUUGCUUCGGCAGCGCAUACCUAUUGGGCUCUUGGAGCCCCGGGGCCGCCUGCCGAAAGAACGCAAACUCUUGUAACCACUGUAUCUCUGAGUGACUUAUUUAAUAAGUUAAAACUUUCAACAACGGAUCUCUUGGUUCUGGCAUCGAUGAAGAACGCAGC
RNAcentral lists this unclassified non-coding RNA (275 nucleotides) under uncultured fungus. RNAcentral's name for it is "partial contains small subunit ribosomal RNA, internal transcribed spacer 1, and 5.8S ribosomal RNA". The stretch from base 1 to 73 matches the Rfam family "Eukaryotic small subunit ribosomal RNA", at positions 1759 to 1831 of the family's 1831-position model. The record is from RNAcentral. Lineage: Eukaryota; Fungi.